CACCAGGUGUGCGAGAGGAAAAGAGGUGGUGUGGAGCGACACAGAGAGCGGACUUGAUAUAUUUCGUGUGUGCUUGGACAGAAUUCACAAGCUAAACUGUCAAAGCUCCAUAGAGCUCUUGUUGCUCCUCCCUGUAGGACGAGAACCUACCCUCGUACAGUACAACUGAUCUCUGGCUCUCAGCAGACCCGUCACCGAGAACCAUGCCAUCCCACCUGGCCAGCUGCCACGAACCCCUUUGGAUGCAAUACACAGCCUGAAGCUGCUCACUUCUGUGGAUAUUGCCCUCCUGGCUACGCUGCAAGAGAGAGCCCUGCUGACUAGAGUUCCCCCAGCCCUAAUCCUACCUGGUUACGGGUCCUUUUCUUUUCCCACCACGUGUGCUGCCAAGCUUGCCCAGUGAGUUUGGCUCAUGAUGUUAUCACAACAUAGGGUUAAUUUUACGGGUGUCUCUCUCCGUGGUAAACAAGUUAUUCACAUUAUCUGUCAUCCCCAUUAAUCCUGCUCGGGGAAACUGGAAGGAGCAGCUUUAAGUGGUUACGCUUUGCCCUGUGUGACCCCACCCCUAGAGCUCAUUGGUUCAGGACGUACUCCUAACCAACAGGCAGUCAAUCAAUAGGCUUGUCAGCAACUCAUUUCAUAACCUGGCACUCAUACACAUAAAAGCUGGGUUAAUCCUUGCUUCUUUCUUGGAAAUAUAAACAGAGAAAUGACAAGAAAGAAAGAUGUAGCAGGUUGCUUAGGAACAAGAAAAUAAGAGUGGAAGCCACAAUGGGUCAUCAUAAUAAGUCCAAAUUGCAAAAUAUUGAAACUAUGAGCAAGCAGAAGUGAUGGAGGAGAGAAGAGUUUCAAGCCAAGGGAAACAAGAAGCUGAGAGAAGCAUCUAGGUCAAUGGGCAUGACCUUCCAGCCCCUGCCACAGAGCCCUAGAGUCUCCUGAAACUAGAGUAGCUCCCCAGUCCCAGGGCUCUGAGCUUGCCCCCUCCAUCUGUGGAAGACCAACUCCACAUUUAGUUUUACAAGAAAACUCCCUCCUGAACUAGCCUGCCUGUGUCUGCUCCUUAAGACCAAGAAAACCCUCCCAUUUUACGUAUGUUCUCUGUGUGCAAAGAGGGUGGCAUGUAUCUUUGUAGCUGUUUACCCCUAAUAUAAUGCAUGCUAAGCAAUGGGUUCUCAGUAAAUGAAUGCUGAAUAAAAGAAUUUUUAAAAGCCC
This 1212-nucleotide long non-coding RNA is filed under the name Equus caballus (horse). RNAcentral's name for it is "lncRNA (ENSECAG00000041857.2)". The record is from RNAcentral. Lineage: Eukaryota; Metazoa; Chordata; Mammalia; Perissodactyla; Equidae.